RNAcentral lists this unclassified non-coding RNA (254 nucleotides) under Hevea brasiliensis (rubber tree). Lineage: Eukaryota; Viridiplantae; Streptophyta; Magnoliopsida; Malpighiales; Euphorbiaceae. The record is from RNAcentral.
GCGGCGCCAAACAGAAUCUUUGCGGCAACCCCCAUCCCCAAGCUCCCCUCCUCAUUAGGCCCCUUCACCACAAGCUCCCUGAAGGCGAGCCCUAUGGUUCCUGAGACGCCAAGGUAGCCAGUGACGAAGGCAACAGCCAUCCAGGUGCGCCCUCGCAGCAGCUCCCGGCUCUUCGCCAGGGCGGCGAGGCCGUAGAGAGGCUCGAGAACAGACACGACGCUAGCGAGAUGCCACCAGGCAGAGAUGUAGGCGUG